AUUGAACGCUGGCGGCAUGCUUUACACAUGCAAGUCGAACGGUAACAGCACUUCGGUGGCUGACGAGUGGCGAACGGGUGAGUAAUACAUCGGAACGUGCCUAGUAGUGGGGGAUAACUACUCGAAAGAGUAGCUAAUACCGCAUGAGAUCUAAGGAUGAAAGCAGGGGACCUUCGGGCCUUGCGCUACUAGAGCGGCUGAUGGCAGAUUAGGUAGUUGGUGGGAUAAAAGCUUACCAAGCCGACGAUCUGUAGCUGGUCUGAGAGGACGACCAGCCACACUGGGCCUGAGCCCCGCCCCAGCCUCCUACGGGGGGCAGCGGUGGGGAAUUUUGGACAAUGGGCGCAAGCUUGUCCCAGCAAUGCCCCGUGCAGGAUGAAGGCCUUCGGGUGGUAACCUGCUUUUGUACGGACCGAAAAGCCUCUUCUAAUACAGGAGGGUCAUGACGGUACCGUAAGAAUAAGCACCGGCUAACUACGUG
This 481-nucleotide ribosomal RNA is filed under the name uncultured bacterium. RNAcentral describes it as "partial 16S ribosomal RNA". It matches the Rfam family "Bacterial small subunit ribosomal RNA", at positions 30 to 507 of the family's 1533-position model. The record is from RNAcentral.